GAGUAUCGUCCAGCUUGCCCGGUGGUCAAGGGUGUGUUUGGUUGAGGAACCAACUGUCAUGGAAUGGAAUGGUUCCAUUCCAGAGGAACGGGUCAGUUCCGUUCUUGUGUUUGGUACGAGUAAAAGGUAGAAUGGAAUGGUUCUGUUCUUGUGUUUGGUUCGGAAGCAUGGAAUGAAAGAUGGAAUAACAAAAAUUCAAAAUUUCGGCAACAUUUCAUUUGUAUUUAAAAAAAACAAUAUAACAGUAUAUAUUCACAAGCAUGAUAUAUGUAUUACAUCACAUAGAACACAAUUUCGUAAGAUGGCAAGUUCAUUCGCCAAAAAGUAUGGUUACAUUCUGAACAAUUGGCCCUCCUGAAGCGAGGUUAGCACUCUCUUGAUCGAAAUCAGGUGCAAAUCCAGGUGCUGGGCGACCCUGAAAAGAUGUAAAGAUGUACAGUUGUUAACAAAAUAGACUCGAGCACGCACAUACUAAGUUUGCUUCUUAUUGUUAUUUAACUCCCUCCUUUUGCUUGAUUGCUUCCAUGUAGCUAGUUUGAACAGCAUAGAACACCAAACUUUAAUCAGAAAACUAACGCGAGUGCCAUACAAGGAGGAGGGAGGAGGACAUCUUCACCUCUGCCGUUGAUGUAGCCCCGCUGCAACCCGUUGCAUGACUGCAGCCACGCAGCUGCUCGCCGGCUGCACGUGCUCCUCUUCUUCCCCUUUUUGUGAUGCAGAUCGACACAGAAAUAGAUACGUGAGCCGGCGACGACGCAGAUCCAGUGGAGGCACAUAACGAGACGAGGGGCAGGCGGCCUACCGGAGAGGGAGGGCCCAGACGAGGUGCGGCGGCGCACUAGACGGCGAGACGAGGGGGCGGUGUACCGGAGAGGGAGGGGCUGAGACGAGGGGGCGGCGGCGCACCAGACGGCGAGACAAGGGGUCGCGGGAGAGGAGAAAGAGAGAACGACCGGUUCCAUGUAAUUCCUUCGAUUUGGAGGUAUCACUUGGUUCCG
This 998-nucleotide long non-coding RNA is filed under the name Triticum aestivum (bread wheat). RNAcentral describes it as "long non-coding RNA (TAES_LNC023891)". Lineage: Eukaryota; Viridiplantae; Streptophyta; Magnoliopsida; Poales; Poaceae. The record is from RNAcentral.